Long non-coding RNA from Pseudopipra pipra, 1467 nucleotides. RefSeq lists it as uncharacterized. The transcript is spliced from 4 exons. NCBI's taxonomy places the organism in Eukaryota, Metazoa, Chordata, Aves, Passeriformes, Pipridae. The record is from RefSeq and is a predicted model, not a curated record.
GGGUGUGGUGCGGGGGGUGUGGCCGCGGCUUUCCCGCGCAAACGCUCCCCCCCCACGCCCCCUCCCCGCCCUCAGUGUUCGCCGCCGCCGCCGAGGCUUCGCCCGCUGCCCCGCUGAGGGGCGGCGGCGGCGCGGCCUCGACACGGGAAGCGCGGCGGGGGCGAAGAGGAGGCAGCGAGCGAGGAAGAGCCGCCCCCCCGUCCCCCGUCCCCACACACACACACACACACACCCCCUCCCCGGGGCCGGCCCCGCGCGCCGCCGCCUCGCGACCCCCGCCCCCCUCACGGCCGCCCCCCCCCCUCCCCUCACGGCCCCGGCCGGACCUUCCCGAAGAAAGGCAUCGGCGGCGGCGGGAAGAGAAGGAGGAAGAGGAGGAGGAGGAGGAGGAGGAGGAGGAGGGAGCCACCCGUCCCUCUGUCCCUUUAGCAAGGUGACCUGCGUGCCUCGCCACGGUGCCUCCAGCCCAAAUAUUCCAGCAUCCCCAAGCUGGCUGGGAACGGCCGUAACAAAGAGUGUCGGCGGCUCUUUGUGUCGUCUGGCGUUCCGGGCUCUCGCAGGCUUUCCAGCUCAUCCACGGGGGCUGCAAACUUCCCUUCUGAACGAAAGCUGAGGGCUUUGCUUUUCUUCCCCGCAGUCACACGGAUUCAGGAGCUUGAACUCCGAGAGACGCAAUAAGCGAUUGUGUUACGAGCCUUGGCAGCGCCAAAUCCGUGAGCACGGGAUGGUGCAGACAGAAGAGUGCAGGUUACCUCUAACUCAGGUAGUGGAAAGUCUUACCUGGAUCUUCCCUGCUGAGGCUUGGAAUUUAGCAAAGGAAAAACAUACCUGUAAGACUUGUCACUGUACUGAACCAUACUGGGAGGGCAGGAGGAAUCUGAAGAAGAUUUUCAAGCACUAAGCAUAAAAAUAAAUGACAACAUAAAACCCAUGUGAAGAAGGCAGUAAAGCAUUUACAUUUGUCUUAUUUCCAGAUACAAAUAAUUGCAUCCAAUAACCCUCACAAUCAUGCAUGUGAUACAUAGCUUUGUAAUCAAAAAUAAUUUGCGAUGAGGCAAAAUAAGCAUCCCAAGUUUUUGAAAACAUUCCCAGUUUAACACCAAAUAGUUGCUGUGUGAUAAGAACACAAAUGUGUGGGAGGCCUUUCAAGGAAAAAAAAAAGUCUUUAUGUGAGGCAAACUUUCAACAUUAGGACAACUCACUCUGUUUACAGCAACAUUUUUCUGUUUAUAAACAACAUUCUUCAUGAGGAAACGGGAAUUCUGGAGAAGUGUGAGAGAGGACAUAAAGGAUUUUCACAAUAUAACAGUUUUUAUCUUUAAGCCAGUCAUAGACCAGUUUUCCUACUGUUGUGAUUUUUAAUAGUCCCAUAAACUCUAUUUCCCCUCCUUAUUUCUGCAGUGGAUACAGCCUCUAUCCUUAACCUAAAUAUUAACAGGAUUAUAUGGAUAAAUUUUGCUUCAGGUG